Globicephala melas (long-finned pilot whale) is the source of this 1727-nucleotide long non-coding RNA. RefSeq lists it as uncharacterized. NCBI's taxonomy places the organism in Eukaryota, Metazoa, Chordata, Mammalia, Artiodactyla, Delphinidae. The record is from RefSeq and is a predicted model, not a curated record.
UCUAAGCCUCCAGCGAAAACAAGCCUCAUGUCUUUCAUAUUUAGAGCUUCCACGAACCCCACCGACAACUCGCAGGGCCACCACUCCAAGUCUUCAGGCGCCUGCAAAGAUGGGCCACCCGCUGCUGAAGCCACACCAAGAGAAGAUGAAAGGAGAGUCCAACGGGACACCCUGGUGGUGACAUAAAUAAAAAUACGAUUUUACACCACGCCCAGAGCUCAAAAGGACGCGAUGUAAGCGCGUGGUUAUUGUACAAGGACUCUGUGUAAAGCAGCCAUCCUACGUGAACAGAAACUUAAAGACACAGCAAGCUUAGGGCCAGGAGCAGCCCCUGAGCAGAGGGUGGAGUAAGGUGAGCAAGAGUUGUGAGAAGGUAUCGUAAUCCUUAAGAGGAAGUGGUGGACCAGCCCUGCCUGAUGUGGAGAGCGGGGUACACGUGGUUGCCUGUCUGUCUGAAAUGGGGAAUACAGACCUUUGCUAAAAGCCAAAAGAAGGCUUAGAGUGGUCUUUCCACCUUAUAAUUCCAUAGACUCCUAUCUCUGGGACCUGCUGCCUGACAAACGGGGGCAAAAGCCAAAUUCGCUUAGGAACAGCCUCGUUCUCAAUUCCCCUCUUGAACUUGCAGGAAGGACCCUUGUGCCUUAGAGCCGGAGAAGCCUCAAAGAAACAAGUGGAACUGUUUAAAUCAUUGUUUUACAAACACGUUUGACAGCAGAAUCCCAGGUGUGCUCUAGAACUCACUUUGGGCAACACCUACUUCCUGAUUGGGGACUUGAUGGGACCGUUCCACGGCCCUAUCUGGGCCUGGGCUGAGAGUACUUGUAUCUGCGACCGGGAGAACCCAGAUUCUAGCCCAGUCAGUCCGCAAUCAGCCUGGGACCCCAGGUUCCUCCUCUGUGGAGAGGACUGGCCCUCGCCGUGGUGUUUUGCGCUUUCUUCUCCAACAUGCCCUGGAACGUUAAAGCCCCGCCCUCAUCACUGGUUAUUUAGCCAACGCGAUUAUUUAUGAACAGUUCAGCGUAAAGCCCCGCGAUCCCUCUCCAGGCCAUCGUAACAGCUGAACUGAUGGCAGUGAGAGAGGGCUGCAGGUGAGAAGACCUGAGGGAUUUUCAAAGACGAGGAGGAAUCUGAGGCAGGCCUGGAAAGACGGGCUUCUGAACAGGAUCCUUCAAGUUGACUCCAGGGAAAAGGAUACCCAAGUGGGAACUUGGGUCAAGCCUGGGACAGGAAGCACAGCUGGACUGCGUGGAACUGGGGCAUCAUUAGGUGGUUUUCCCCUCCAUUCACCUCUUUCCCGCUGAGACCAAGUUGUCUUUCCUACCUCCCUCUAUAUGUCUGUCCACUCUCCUCCCUGAAGGCCGGCUUCCUCUACUCAUGUAUCACCACACAUGGCUGCCAGCGGCAAGUGCAAAGGACCUUCUGAUUGCCAGCACCCACCACCUUCAGACUGCCUCAGCCUUCCGCUACAUAGUUCAGAUUCCCAGGGAAAUAAACUGAUCGGCUUGGCCUAAUUCAGAAGGAAGAGACACCCAGGACCACAGCUGGAAGACCCUCCAUCUCUUGAGUGAAGAGCCCAGGAUUUUGCAAGUGGAAAGCUCAAGCUAACCACCAAACGUCAAGACAAAAAGAGAGAAAAGCCGGUGUUGAGUGAACACCUCGAAGCAGACCCAAACUUUAGCUGCCUCUCAUUUUGCUCCUGAUGCCAGGAUGCUGAUGAAAUCCACAGA